This is a non-coding RNA of Cinara cedri, 291 nucleotides long. NCBI's taxonomy places the organism in Eukaryota, Metazoa, Arthropoda, Insecta, Hemiptera, Aphididae. The record is from the annotation of a GenBank genome assembly.
AAGACUACGGUGAGCUGAACGUGCACAGACAAGCCGAAACCCACUAUUACGGCAGUGAUACCAGAACUGAGUCCACUAAAAUAACUUUUAGAAAGAUCGGACUGUGCCCGGAUUGAACCGGUGAGCUGUCGAGAAAAUUUAAAUGGGCCGUGCAAAAUUAUGAUUGUUUUUAAUUAAAUUUGAGUAAAUUUUAUCUGUUUUGUAUACAUUUGGACCGGUGAAAAUCCAAAAACUCGGUGUGCCGAUACACUCCCAAUCCGGCGCUGAGUCGGUGGCGUGGUGAAAAGAGAC